This 450-nucleotide ribosomal RNA is filed under the name uncultured bacterium. RNAcentral's name for it is "bacterial SSU rRNA". It matches the Rfam family "Bacterial small subunit ribosomal RNA", at positions 354 to 796 of the family's 1533-position model. The record is from RNAcentral.
GUAGGGAAUCUUCCGCAAUGGACGCAAGUCUGACGGAGCAACGCCGCGUGAGUGAAGAAGGUCUUCGGAUCGUAAAGCUCUGUUGUUAGAGAAGAACAGCGCAUAGAGUAACUGUUAUGCGUGUGACGGUAUCUAACCAGAAAGCCACGGCUAACUACGUGCCAGCAGCCGCGGUAAUACGUAGGUGGCGAGCGUUGUCCGGAUUUAUUGGGCGUAAAGGGAGUGUAGGCGGUCUUUUAAGUCUGAUGUGAAAGCCCACGGCUCAACCGUGGAGGGUCAUUGGAAACUGGGAGACUUGAGUGCAGAAGAGGAGAGCGGAAUUCCAUGUGUAGCGGUGAAAUGCGUAGAUAUAUGGAGGAACACCAGUGGCGAAGGCGGCUCUCUGGUCUGUAACUGACGCUGAGGCUCGAAAGCGUGGGGAGCAAACAGGAUUAGAUACCCUGGUAGUCC